GGGAUAUUGGGCAAUGGGGGGAACCCUGACCCAGCCAUGCCGCGUGAGGGAAGUAGGCCCUACGGGUCGUGAACCUCUUUUAUUCGGGGACAAGGGCGCGGUCGGGAACCGUGCUUGAGGGUACCGAAGGAAUAAGCGUCGGCUAACUCCGUGCCAGCAGCCGCGGUAAUACGGAGGACGCGAGCGUUAUCCGGAUUCAUUGGGUUUAAAGGGUGCGCAGGCGGCCUGGCAAGUCAGCGGUGAAAGCCCGGGGCCCAACCCCGGAAGUGCCGUUGAUACUGUCGGGCUGGAAUGCGGUCGAGGCGGGCGGAAUGUGGCGUGUAGCGGUGAAAUGCGUAGAUAUGCCACAGAACGCCGAUAGCGGAGGCAGCUCGCCAGGCCUGCAUUGACGCUCGGGCACGAAAGCGUGGGGAUCGAACA
RNAcentral lists this ribosomal RNA (420 nucleotides) under uncultured bacterium. RNAcentral describes it as "bacterial SSU rRNA". It matches the Rfam family "Bacterial small subunit ribosomal RNA", at positions 358 to 774 of the family's 1533-position model. The record is from RNAcentral.